RNAcentral lists this ribosomal RNA (590 nucleotides) under uncultured bacterium. RNAcentral's name for it is "bacterial SSU rRNA". It matches the Rfam family "Bacterial small subunit ribosomal RNA", at positions 249 to 858 of the family's 1533-position model. The record is from RNAcentral.
UUGGUGAGGUAACGGCUCACCAAGGCAACGAUCAGUAGCCGACCUGAGAGGGUGAUCGGCCACAUUGGAACUGAGACACGGUCCAAACUCCUACGGGAGGCAGCAGUGGGGAAUAUUGCACAAUGGGCGGAAGCCUGAUGCAGCAACGCCGCGUGAACGAUGAAGGCCUUCGGGUCGUAAAGUUCUGUCCUUGGGGAAGAUAAUGACGGUACCCUUGAAGGAAGCCCCGGCUAACUACGUGCCAGCAGCCGCGGUAAUACGUAGGGGGCGAGCGUUAUCCGGAAUUAUUGGGCGUAAAGAGUACGUAGGUGGCUGUGCAAGCGCGGGGUUUAAUGCAGUGGCUUAACCACUGUACGCCUUGCGAACUGUACGGCUUGAGUGCAGGAGGGGAAAGCGGAAUUCCUAGUGUAGCGGUGAAAUGCGUAGAUAUUAGGAGGAACACCGGUGGCGAAGGCGGCUUUCUGGACUGCAACUGACACUGAGGUACGAAAGCGUGGGGAGCAAACAGGAUUAGAUACCCUGGUAGUCCACGCCGUAAACGAUGAGCACUAGGUGUCGGGUUCGCAAGAGCUCGGUGCCGCAGUUAACGC